Molecule: ribosomal RNA, 452 nt
Filed under: uncultured eukaryote
Lineage: Eukaryota
Description: bacterial SSU rRNA
Rfam family: Eukaryotic small subunit ribosomal RNA
Source: RNAcentral
CGAGGGACGGCGCCGCCCCGGGGCUCGUGAUAUCUUAUCUCGCCGCCCGUCGCGAGGCGGACGGAGGGAUGGAUGAGGUUACCUGGAAAAAAUCGGGGCGAUCUAGGCGGGCGAACCUCGCCAACGAACGAUCGGACAUGGGAUAACGGAAGAGGGCGUCGGCUCGACUUCGUCGGUUCCUCGGGCCGAGGCACGUACGGUGAAUAGGGACGGUCGGGGCCGCCCGUACCGGGUCGUGAGAGGUGAAAUUCUAGGAUCGACCCGAGACGAACUGCCGCGAAAGCAUUCGGCAAGGACGCUUUCAUUAAUCAAGAACGAAAGUCGGGGGAUCGAAGACGAUCAGAUACCGUCGUAGUCCCGACCGUAAACGAUGCCGACCGAGGGCCCCGGAGGAGUUACGUACGACCCUCCGGGCCCUCCCGCGAGAAAUCAGGAGUAUUCGGGUUCCGGGG